CCUAAACUUUGUUUAAAAGGGGAACAGAAUAUAAAUAAACACACAGAGGUGAUUUUAUCUAUACACACACACUCAGACCUACAUCCGUGCCUGAAAGGACAUUCAAGACACAAAUGACAAGGCACCUGAAGGGCAAGGACUGUGGAAACAUGAAAAUGGGGACGCUUGUGAGAAGACUUUAGAGUAUGCCUGUGAUCCGAAACCUCUGUUCACAUCUUCCUCCAAUUUGAGUGCUCUCCGAGACGGCGGGGUGAGAGGGUGUGACUCCUUGCCACAGUCAUUGGUUCCCACUCUCAUUUGUGCAGUGGAGACAGUCUGUGCUGUGAGAGGUAAUGAGACGACCGACAGUUAAAGGACAGAGUCCUUCCUUUGUCUUCCAGGCUCCAUUCUGCUGCCUCCCACAGCCUUCGGGAUGAGGCUGCACCAACAGUAGUUAUAAACUUUCACAUUCCAGGAUGCCAGGUCUGGGAUGUCCCUGGCCUUCGCCAUAGAGGGUGACAGCAAGAUCAAGUCUAACCAAAGGGAUAGAAAGUGGCAAGUAUUGGGAGACCAUAGAAAUAAGACACUCAGGAGUAUGCCUAAAGCUAAUGAAAUAUGAAUUGAAAGCCAUUUCAGCAGGGUUAGUAAAGACAGUUUUGCACUAUCACCUUCAUUAUCAAUAACAAUGACAAUAAAACAAUCAAAACAAAGGAACAGGGAAGCGGAUGUGGCUCAAGCAGUUGGGCACCCGCCUACCACAUGAGAGGUCCUGGUUUUGUUCCCAGUGCCUCCUAAAGAAGACGAGCAAGACAGAGAGCUGACACGAAGGGCUGGCUCUGUGAGCUGACGUGAAAAGAUGACACAGUGAGAUGAUGGCAAUGAAAUGACACAACAAGGAGAGACAAUGAGAGACACUAUAAGCAGGCAGCAGAGGUAGCUCAAGCAAUUGGGUGCCUCCCUCCUACAUGAGAGGUCCUAGAUUCAGUUCCUGGUGCAUCCUAAAAAGAUGAGUAGAAACAGAAAGCACACAACAAACAAACACAGAGAGCAGACAGCAAGUGCAAACAACAAGGGGGGAUAGAAAUAAAUAAACAAAAUAAAUCUUUUUUAAAAAAGAACACAAUAAAGAUAAGCAAAUGUACUGAAAGAGGCUAGCAUGUUUGGUAAAUUCAGAGAUAUACAUUAUAGCUAUUUAUCUUUAUGACCUUUUAGGAUGUGAUCUUUUUUUGGAGGGGGUAAUAAGUGUUCUUUUAAUUUAUAUACACUGACACACAAAAACUAAAAGCUUUCCUUCCUGGUUGCCAUUUGCUUGACUUUGGGAUUUUGUCCGUAUGAAGGUCCCCUCAGGCGUUUACGUCCAAAACCCUGAGGUGACUGCUGGGAGGUGAGCAGAUCCACGGCAGAAGCUACUGCACAUGCCUUGCGAUACAGGGAGGACACCUGAGGUUAUGCUUCCACAGUGGGGCCGGUUGAGGGAAGAAAUGGGAUGCCGUAAGGCAAGGAGUGCAGCUGUCUAAACGAGCCCAGAGUUCCCGAACAGUUUAGGUCUAAAGCAGGAGUUCUCAGCCAGGGGUCCAGGAGCUUGAGCUGAAAUUCAAAAGAACAUUAUUCUCGGGGGGACGUGUUGGUGCAGGUGUG
Molecule: long non-coding RNA, 1617 nt
Organism: Dasypus novemcinctus (nine-banded armadillo)
Lineage: Eukaryota; Metazoa; Chordata; Mammalia; Cingulata; Dasypodidae
Source: Ensembl